Molecule: ribosomal RNA, 492 nt
Filed under: uncultured bacterium
Lineage: Bacteria
Description: partial 16S ribosomal RNA
Rfam family: Bacterial small subunit ribosomal RNA
Source: RNAcentral
AGUGAACGCUGGCGGUAGGCCUAACACAUGCAAGUCGAACGGCAGCACAGUAAGAGCUUGCUCUUACGGGUGGCGAGUGGCGGACGGGUGAGGAAUACAUCGGAAUCUACUUUUUCGUGGGGGAUAACGUAGGGAAACUUACGCUAAUACCGCAUACGACCUACUGGUGAAAGCAGGGAAUCUUCGUACCUUGCGCGAUUGAAUGAGCCGAUGUCGGAUUAGCUAGUUGGCGGGGUAAAGGCCCACCAAGGCGACGAUCCGUAGCUGGUCUGAGAGGAUGAUCAGCCACACUGGAACUGAGACACGGUCCAGACUCCUACGGGAGGCAGCAGUGGGGAAUAUUGGACAAUGGGCGCAAGCCUGAUCCAGCCAUACCGCGUGGGUGAAGAAGGCCUUCGGGUUGUAAAGCCCUUUUGUUGGGAAAGAAAAGCAGCAGGUUAAUACCCCGCUGUUCUGACGGUACCCAAAGAAUAAGCACCGGCUAACUUCGUG